UCAGGAUGAACGCUGGCGGCGUGCCUAACACAUGCAAGUCGAGCGAUUACUUCGGUAAAGAGCGGCGGACGGGUGAGUAACGCGUGGGCAACCUGCCUCAUACACAUGGAUAACAUACCGAAAGGUAUGCUAAUACAGGAUAAUGUAAGAGAUUCACAUGGAUUUCUUAUCAAAGCUCCGGCGGUAUGAGAUGGACCCGCGUCUGAUUAGCUAGUUGGUAAGGUAAUGGCUUACCAAGGCGACGAUCAGUAGCCGACCUGAGAGGGUGAUCGGCCACAUUGGAACUGAGACACGGUCCAAACUCCUACGGGAGGCAGCAGUGGGGAAUAUUGCACAAUGGGCGAAAGCCUGAUGCAAGCAACGCCGCGUGAGUGAUGAAGGCCUUCGGGUCGUAAAACUCUGUCCUCAAGGAAGAUAAUGACGGUACUUGAGGAGGAAGCCCCGGCUAACUACGUGCCAGCAGCUGC
RNAcentral lists this ribosomal RNA (467 nucleotides) under uncultured bacterium. Its description in RNAcentral is "bacterial SSU rRNA". It matches the Rfam family "Bacterial small subunit ribosomal RNA", at positions 24 to 518 of the family's 1533-position model. The record is from RNAcentral.